UACAGAGGUGGCAAGCGUUGUUCGGAAUUACUGGGCGUAAAGGGCGCGUAGGCGGCUUGGUCAGUCCCGUGUGAAAUCCCUCGGCUCAACUGAGGAACUGCACGGGAAACUGCCUGGCUUGAGUUCGGGAGAGGGAAGCGGAAUUCCGGGUGUAGCGGUGAAAUGCGUAGAUAUCAGGAGGAGCACCGAUGGCGAAGGCAGGUCUCUGGGCAUUAACUGACGCUGAGGAGCGAAAGCAUGGGGAGCGAACAGG
This 253-nucleotide ribosomal RNA is filed under the name uncultured bacterium. RNAcentral's name for it is "partial 16S ribosomal RNA". It matches the Rfam family "Bacterial small subunit ribosomal RNA", at positions 524 to 776 of the family's 1533-position model. The record is from RNAcentral.